This 835-nucleotide ribosomal RNA is filed under the name uncultured Bacillota bacterium. Its description in RNAcentral is "bacterial SSU rRNA". It matches the Rfam family "Bacterial small subunit ribosomal RNA", at positions 58 to 872 of the family's 1533-position model. The record is from RNAcentral. Lineage: Bacteria; Bacillati; Bacillota.
CAAGUCGAACGUGAAAGGGGCUUCGGCCCUGAGUAAAGUGGCAAACGGGUGAGUAACGCGUGGGUGAUCUGCCUCUGAGUGGGGGAUAACGUUCCGAAAGGGACGCUAAUACCGCAUGACAUCCUGUUCUUGGAUGAACGGUGAUCGAAGCUGGGGACCGCAAGGCCUGGCGCUUGGAGAGGAGCCCGCGUCCGAUUAGCUAGUUGGUGGGGUAACGGCCUACCAAGGCGACGAUCGGUAGCCGGCCUGAGAGGGCGGACGGCCACACUGGGACUGAGACACGGCCCAGACUCCUACGGGAGGCAGCAGUGGGAAUUGUUCGCAAUGGGCGCAAGCCUGACGACGCAACGCCGCGUGGGGGAUGAAGGUCUUCGGAUUGUAAACCCCUGUUGGGUGGGACGAACACUUCCGUGGUGAACAGCCAUGGAGACUGACGGUACCACCUGAGGAAGCCCCGGCUAACUCUGUGCCAGCAGCCGCGGUAAUACAGAGGGGGCAAGCGUUGUUCGGAAUUACUGGGCGUAAAGGGCGCGUAGGCGGCCUGUUAAGUCAGACGUGAAAUCCCUCGGCUCAACCGGGGAACUGCGUCUGAUACUGGCGGGCUUGAAUUCGGGAGAGGGAUGUGGAAUUCCAGGUGUAGCGGUGAAAUGCGUAGAUAUCUGGAGGAACACCGGUGGCGAAGGCGGCAUCCUGGACCGACAUUGACGCUGAGGCGCGAAAGCCAGGGGAGCAAACGGGAUUAGAUACCCCGGUAGUCCUGGCCCUAAACGAUGAGUGCUUGGUGUGGCGGGUAUCGAUCCCUGCCGUGCCGAAGCUAACGCAUUAAGCACUCCGC